RNAcentral lists this long non-coding RNA (5461 nucleotides) under Homo sapiens (human). RNAcentral describes it as "non-protein coding lnc-EDC3-2:6". The record is from RNAcentral. Lineage: Eukaryota; Metazoa; Chordata; Mammalia; Primates; Hominidae.
GUGUCGCGGCGCACGUAGGUCCCCCGACCUGACAGGUGCGCGGCCCGGGCCGGCUGGGCUCUCAGAGCCGAGAGGUGGGGCCCCGACCUGGCCGUGGGGCUGGGCCCGCUCCGUCGCCCCGACCCCGCGUGGUCCGCCAACUCCCUCCUGCGCGCGGAGAGGACGGGCAUUGUUCUCGGGGCCCCGGAGAGCGCGAGAGCGGCCUGAGGUCUGUGUGCCGGAGCUCGGGAAGGCGGACGCGACUCCGCUUGCGCGAAACGAGCGAACGACACAUUAUUAUCUUGGUGUGUGCGGGUUUUUUGAAAGCCGUGGUGGCGCUCCCAGCUCGCCAGUGCGUGCGGGGCAGUUUCUGGGAAGAUACCCUAGAGCUACUCUGGCGGGGCCGGAGUCUGGAGGGAGGAGAUCCCCUCUCCUUGAGCCCCCUCCUGUGGAGCGGCUUCCUGCCGGCCUGCGUGGCCUCUCAGUUAAGACUCCCCCGCUAGACAAAAGCCCCGCCGGCUGCGUCUCUGGGCCACUGGACAGCCCCCUUUUGCAGAGGCCUCGAGCGUGGGGUCACCAAAAUCCCUGACACCUACUGUCCCGCGCCGGGUCGGACAGGAUUACGAGGCCCCACUUUCCAGAUGAGAAAACUGAGGUGGGGAUCUUUUGAGACCUCACUGUGAGCGUGCGCGUCCCGCCCGGUCUGGGAGUGGCGUCCCCGGCCUCGCGAGCGUCGCGCAGUGAAGCGACAGGGCGUGGCGCCUAAUUGUCCCCACGCCACGCGAGGGCUAGAAACCCGCAGUCGGGGCGGACCAUCCCUCCAGGCACCGCCCCCUCCUUGGGACCGCUCCGCGGGGGCGCCAAGGGUUUCCCCAGCACCGCCCCGGCGGCCGCCAGCCAGCCGCGGCCCCGCCCAUGCCCCUCCCCGCGGGUCUGGGCCCGCCCCUGAAGCGGGGAGGUGUCGCAGGGGAGCCCCCCGCUUCCGAGCUGCGGCUGCGCAUCAAGUCCUUCGCCAGCGGCUCUCCCUGAAACGGGGGGUUUCAAGGCGUGAUUUGUAGGGGUGUUUAGUAUCCCCUAAAUCUCUGCCAGCUCCACCAUGGCUAUCCGAAGUAAACAACAGAAGCUAAUUCAAAACUGGGUCCCCUUCCAAAAAAUUACAAAAAUUAGCCGGACUGGGUGGCGCAUGCCUGUAGUUCCAGCUCCUUGCAGGGGACUGAGGCAGGAGGAUCGCUUGAUCCCAGGAGGUUGAGAUUGCAGUGAGCUAUGAUCACACCACUGCACUCCAGCCUGGUCGACAGAAGGAGACCCUGUCUCAAAAAAUAAACAAAAAAUCGGCCAAGCGCGGUGGUUCACCCCUCUAAUCCCAGUACUUUGGGAGGCUGAGGUGGAUGAUCACCUGAGGUCAGGAAUUCGAGACCAGUCUGGCCAACAUGGCGAAACCCCGUCUCUACUAAAAAUACAAAAAUUAGCUAGACGUGGUGGCACGCGCCUGUAGUCCCAGAUGCUCGGGAGGCUGAGGUGGGAGAAUCACUUAAACCCGGGAGGCAGAGAUUGCAGUGAGCCGAGAUCGCGCCACUUCACUGCAGCCUGCGCAAGAGAGCAAAACUCCGUCUCAAAAAAGAAAGUUAGGAGCCGCUUCAGUGUACAGUGGGUGACCCAGAUUGGCUGCUGAGGUCCUGCCCCCUAAGGUCCUAUCUCAAAAGCUGAAGAUUUUGAAAAAUCCCAGGCCAUCUGAGAUGCCAUUCCUGCCUGGUACCCAUGGCCUCGACCACACUAGCCAGGUUCCAUCUCGGGGUUUCAUCAGCUCAGAUGAGGUGGAGUAGGAGGCCUCUCUGGUGUCUCCUCCUCCCACCACUUAGUGUUGCCUGAGUUUCCAUGGCUCCAGGAUACUAGCCCUGAGGGAUGGAUGUUCUCAGAGAAGCUUCUGUCCCCGGGAUGGAUGUUCUCAGAGAAGCUUCUGUCCCCAGCCCUGCCCUGAGCUAUAGGCUCUGAUGGGGUAAGUUAGUCACCUUCCCACAAAACUGCCCACCACUGAGAAUCCAGGAGUCCCUACCUCCCAGCCACGAAGCAACUCUCUUUUUCUGAGGUGGAACAGAAGCCAUCUCCCAGCUGUCUCCCUCUCCACACUUUGCAGCCUGGAGGCCAUCCUGCCUGAGAUUCUACCCUUAGAGCUUCAUUCUUUUGUGACUUUCACACCUUUCAGAAACUUGGAGAAAGAUCUGCCCCCAGGUGAGGUUUGGGUAACUCCUCCACUCCCAUCCCCACCUCAGAGGAGGCUUGCUCCACCUCCACUGCCCCUCAGGCCCAAGCUCCUGUCUGGGUCCUCAGCCUCUGUGGAGUUGAGGUCUGUAGCAUAUCUCAAGGGCACUGGGGAGGUGCCGCUGCCCUGCAUCCUCCCAAACCCCACAGCUCCUCUCACCCCUUUUGGUCUCCCUUUUGCCCCCCACCUCCACUUCCACCAAGCUUAGGGCUCAGUUCACUGCCCGCCAGGCCCAGCUGCUCUGAUGCCCUCCUUGUUCUAUUGUCCUUACUGUCUCCUCUGUCUGCCUCAUCUGACUUUGCCUUCUCUGGAGGCAGUUAAUUCACCUCUGAGCCUUGGCCCCAGGGUCACCUCCCUGGAAAGCCUUCCUGGGGCUGCCCUGGCCUGCCCCCCUGCUCAGGACAAUCUGGCCUGCAUGUGCACUCCAUUCUGUGGACCAUGAGCCCCUCCCGGACCAAGCUGGGCACAGCUCAGCUUCUCACUAAGGGCAGGGGGCUGCCAUGGAAAGCCUGUCACUUCUAACUGGCAAGACAGAGCACCCAGGUAGAGUGGCAUUGUGGGAGCUGUACCCAGUAUGGGAGGUGGGGGCAGCGGCCAGUCCUCAUGGUCUGUCUUAGAGAAGCCUUGUGUGGCAGUGACAUUUUGGAGGGGAGACAAUUUUGGAGGGGGCUGCAGGAGCCUGGGCCUGGAGUAAGGGGAGAGGAGAGUCAAGCUGUCCAGUGGGGAGAAGGCCUGGUGGGCGAUGGUGCCAUCCUGAGUGGAGAAGGCCUGGGAAUGUGAGGAGUGGGGAGGUCAGGGUGGGGGUGGUAGAGGUGCUAGGUGUAACCACUGCUUAGGUGAAGACAACUCCUGUGCCCUUUCAGAGCCAGGGCAGGGUGCCUCGUGCCCAGGGUUGGGAGUUGGGAGGCAGUGGACUUGGGCCCAGACCCUAGAGGUGAGGAGGGUGAUGGUGAGGGGUGUAGGGAUGGCAACACUGGCAGAAUAGCCCCUGUCUACCCUCUGACCUUCCUCACCAAGCUGGUGGGUGAGAGGUCCGUCAGGGCCUCCAUAUUACAGCUGAAGCUAUGGAAGCCAGAGAGGUACCUGAGCAGUGACUUGACUUAAGGGCUCUGACCCCCACAUCAUAGCUAAACUGUGGUGGCCCCCAAAUGCUCCCCUGCCAUUUCCAGACUUCCACACUGGAAGGGGGAACGUGGCUCUGGUGCAGACAGUGUUGGGUGGGGAUUGCAGCUCCUCACGGGACUCCCUGCCGGACUUGGGCACCAAUUUCCCCUCAGGAGUGCCUGCUGCGCCUCCCCAGACCAGCUGCUGUGAGGAUAAUGGGGUUUGUGUUCAGCAAGUGGCCACCCCUGGCAGCACCCACAGCUCAUGGAAACCACUGGGAACUGAGAACUGUUUAGUGGAGUUGAGGCUGGUGUUUAGUGAAGUUCCAAUCACCAGGAGACUUUCGGGCCAGAGGAUCAGGGUUGAAGGGUUUUAGUGCGUGCUCAGCCAAAGGGCCUCAAUUCUGAGUCUGAGAAGAGGCCUCAGAGCCUGGUGCUUUGGGAAGCCAAGACUACCCCAGCUCCAGGAUCUGUCCUGUUCUCAGGUCCCACUGAGGCAGAGCCCAUGGACUUGAUGCCCAGCCCUGCCCGCUGUCUCUGGAACUCCUAUUUCCUCGGGGCAUUGGACCGUGUCUGCCCACCAAGCCCCACUGAAGGGUGCAGGUGAGCAUAGGAAAGUUGGGCAUGGCAGCCCCCUGGGGCCUGGGCUGAAGUCUGGCUCCUCUUUCCCUGGCAUGUGCUCCAACAGGGCCCCCGAGCGGGACUGGAGGCGGGCAGAGAAGGACCUGUGGGAGCAGCUGGCAGAAAGCAGGCUGCAGACACUGCCCUGCCUGGUGGGAGGCAGGGAAGCUAGCCCUACCUAUCUGAGGCUCUGUGCUGCCUUCAGCCCUCCCACUCAGCCUCCUCCUAGCAGGUGGAGUGCUCCCUGGCCUGCCUGGAGCAGGAGAGGCACCAGAUGCAGGGAUCCCAGGGACAGGCUGAGUGGAGGAGGCCAGACCAGAACAUAGAAGACAAGUGAGUGGGGCUGGGCUGUGGGGGAGGGGUGGGGUGGCAGGGAACAGGCAGACCAUCCCUUCUACCCACAGGAUCCUGCUGCUGCAGACAGAAGUGGAAAAGGCCUAGCGGCAUUUGGACCAAAUGACCCAACAGCCUGUUGGCCCAGAGCCCAGCCUGGGGAUCCCCCAAGUGGGUGCAUGGCAGGCCCUGCGCACUGGCCCUGCUGUACCUUUGACUCUGCCCCACACUUUAUUCUCUGGUCCUCAUUAUUGAAGCAUUAUCUAGAGAAGGAAGGCAGCGCAGGGGCUUAGUCCAGCCAAGAGAGGGAUCCUCUUCCAACAUUUGGGAAUACCCUGGGAUCAUUCAGUGACUUCCCUCCUGGUUCAGAUGGGAAAACUGAGACCAGAGAGCAGAGGAGAGCUUGUUCAGAGUCAUAACUUGAGUUGGGGCCAGGACCCUGCCACAACAUGCCCUGAGGCAUCAACGGUCUGCCAAGACCACCCCAGUGUGGUCUGGAAGCUGGAAGGAGACCCCAGGAUUCUGGACCAAGUGUAUCUACAGGAGAUGCUGGUGCCAGGCCUGCAGAUCCAAGAGCAGAGCUGGGAUGGAGGCAGGGCCCAGGAGCUUCGGGACCCAGAGUCUCCAUGCCAGCAGCUGAGACCCCUGCCCAGGCUCAGGACACAGUCCGUCUGCAGGAGCAGUUGCUGAUACUCACUGAGGUGAACAAGAGACUCAGAAGAGCUGGGCCAGAGCCACCAGCAACUAGGGGCCUGCUUGGAGCAGCUGCAGCAUCUGCAGGGAGAGCAGAUGGUGUUGGGGGGCCAUUGCAGGCCCUGGAGGCAGAGCACACCUGGCUACUUCAGGAGAAGGUGGGGCUGCUAGCAGCACUGGGUGUGGCCCCGGGCCAAGAGUCCUGGUAGGUGGCUGCUUGGGCCCAUCCUCAGAGUGUCCAAGCCAGGCUGGGGUGGGGGCUCUGUUCUCACUGUAGGUGAGAUGGCCCUCUCAGCAGGCGGUGGGCCAGUCUCUGUCACCAGCUGGCUGAGGGGGAAUGGCCCAGAGCCCUAAACCCGGAAUCACACGACCAGAGCCAGUCUCCCUUCCCCAGGUAUCAGCGCUCCUGGUUGUCACAUUCUGGCUCUUUUAUGGGGUGGGAAAUCUUUCAGCUUCAAGAAGUCCUGUCUCG